GCCCCGCAGCCCGAGUCCCGCAGCCGGCCGAGGGUGGCGGCGGCAGCGCCGGCGGCACGGCGGGGGGGCGGCACACAUGCCCGGAUUGUGACGUCCAGUCUGGUUGCUGUGGCAACCCCAUCCCAUCGUUCCGGCAGCGCGACUAGUUAACAGCAGAGAACAAGUUGGGAGACUAGUCCUGAGCCAUUGGGUGGAGAGUGGGAGACAGCGCGCUCUGGCCCGGGGAGCCGUCGAGGCGCCCGCGCGCCCCGGGACCCGACGGCCGAGCGGGCAGCGGGGACUCGGGCAAGCCGGGCCCAGUGGGAGGCGGGGAAGCGCAGAGCUGGCCGCCGCCGCCCCCUCCAGAAGGCGCUCGGCCCCGGGAGUCCCCAAGGGCGCGGAGGCGGGGUCCUCGCGCCACCGAACAGCGAGCUCCUGCACUCCGCUCACACGCACCGAGACCCUCGCCUCCCCGCACCCCAUUCCGGACUUGACACGCUUCUAGUCACCUUUCGAAUGAGGAUUGGAAGAAAAAUAUGUUCCGCACUUGAGGAAGGGCCACUCUGAAGACAGCGGGUCUGAUUCCUCCAGAAAAGUCCGUGCAGACUGGCUCCUCCCUCACCCCUUCGCACCCGGCUCCCACCACCCACGUGCCCUCUUCCAAAACGCCCCUCGAGGCUGGGUCCAGUUUAAACACAUCCGGACCCCUAGGGGUGGUGCGGAUCAGCGUUCUCUGUGCCCAAAACUCCCGCUCAGAAGCGACACCUGUCGCGGAGCGGGAAGGAACCGCCACGAGCCCUCGGUUGUUACAGGUGAAGAUGGAGGCCAAAGCCCUGGGGAGCAAGACUGGAAUUUUAAAUGAGCGCCGCCAGUCUCGGCUGCAGCAAGUCUUAAAGCUGUUCAGAAGGCAGAAGUUUCAGUGGCCGGCAGGAUGGCCAGCCCACUAACCUAGAAUGUCCAGUAAAGGGAGGGCACCCUCAAACUCACUGCCUUCAGCCUGUGGAACACACUGGAGCCCCAUGUGGCUGCCAGGGACCUGCAGGAUCUGCGUGACUUGGAAGCCAAGAGCAGGCAGAAGUUCUUCUCUCUAGCACCAAUCCCUCCCAUCUUGGCAGAGCACCUGCCCCAUCUAGGUGGCAUUCAAGAGUACCCAAGCCACACUGCCAUCUCCAGAAGGGCUAUCCCUUUCCUGGGGCCUUCUGGGAACCAAGAGAGUUGUACCUGCUUGGCAAGGGCCCUCAUGCAAGACCUCUUGGGGAGGUUGCCACAACUCAAGGCACCGUAAGUCCAAGUGGCUGCAGCUAGGUGACAUUACUUACAGACCAACAGCGAAACAAAACCAACACUGGAAUGGCAGAAACAAAUGGAUUUUUGACUAGAAAUCUCCAGGAAUAUUUAAAGGAGAGCUGAUUGUUAAACUAUUAAAUGUGCAUUUUAAUGACAAUGGACCAAAAAUGCCUGAUGUUGAAAGCAAUCCCUAAAAAGGUAAAAAUUCAAUAAACUCUGCAAUUCUGAGAACAAGUCUAUCAUUAAGGUUACAAUUUCAGGAGACAAGAUUCUUGUGGAUGCUGAUCACAGAGCUUGUAAUGACACCUCAGUGACAAUUCAAAAUCAAAAUAUUUUUAAAAAAUAUAUUGGUUAUGAAAGCACCAAGGAAAAAAUGUUUUUCCAAGAACAGAGCUGCAAUAGCUGGUCUCUUCAACACACACCCCACUCAGUUCGGGAAUUCCUCACACAGGCACCCCUGAAGUCCCACCUCAGGACAGUUCCUCCAGCAACACGUCCCACUGUGGCCACCUGAUGGCCCCGACAUGACGCGAGGCUUCGGAAGGGCAGUGAAGCACUUGUUCCUGAGGCUUCGGAAGGGCAGUGAAGCACUUGUUCCUGCAGCCCCCACAGCCAGUGGCACAGGUGCAACUGCAGCCUCCUCGGAAGUGGCUGAGACCACCACUCCCAGGGUUGCAGGGUCCUCUGAGAUGAAGGGUGAGCACCCCCUGCCCACCAAGACCUUGUACUUGAAGCCUGUUUCUCAAGGCGGGGGCCUUGCCCCACCCGUAUCCAAACCUCUUGGGGUUGCCGGGGAUGGGGGGGAGGGGCUUCCCAAAAAGGCAGACUCCUGGCCGUGGCCCUGAACCUGAGGAAGUACUUGUGUAAGCCAUAAAUUAAAGCAUCUUAGGGGUUCUUUCUGGGUUCCACCCAUGGUAGCAGCUAACUCACUCAGCUGGUUAGCACAGCCUUAACAGACAGUUUUAGGUUGGCCUGAAAUAGCCUAGAAAAAAGUGUGGAUUCUCAAAUCCUCCCAAAUACAGGAAAGAUAGGAAAAUGUCUGGAUCACAUAUUCAUACUUUUUCUUCCCCGAGGUAAGCACCACUUUGGCAUCUUUUGAGGCGGCUUCCACCUGCUCCCCUCAGCACCGCCUGAUUGCUGGGAUGGCAAAUCCCCCAGACGAGGCCUCUGUCCUCUUCCUCUACCUCCAGAAAGAGAGGUGACCUCCACAGCUUAUCACCCCAAAGAACAGAGGCCCGUCACUGUGAUUAGCCAACACCUCCAGCAGGGGCCUAUCCAGGCUCUUCUCCCCAGGGGGCUUCUGACCUCAGCCAGCCUCGUGCUCUGAGGUUACCUGCAGGGAGGUCUGUGUGCUUGGUACGGCCAAAUCUGUGGUUGUCUCUUGUCAAGGAGCCCCAUCCUAGGCAUGCACACCCCUCACAAGGAGGGACCAAGCACGCUACUCUGCUACCCACACUUGAUAAGCUUGGGAGGGCGGGGGGGAGGUGUCAUUGGAAGUCAUGAGAAUGACCAAGCAGCAAGUCAGAAAAUGAAAGCAAGCUGCCAAAGCCAACUUCCAGCCUCUCCUGAGGCUCCAGGGAGUUCACCAGGGCCCGUUAUCACCACAGCGGGUCCUGUGCACCUUCCAAGAAAUCAUGUCCCCGAAAAAGGCUGUGGUCUAAAUACCCCAGAACAUUCUGUAAUUCUGACUGUCUUAAUCUUUGAUAUGAUUUAACUCCCCCCCUUCUCCCACACAAACAUUUCUGAACACCUCUGUGCUAGGCACCACUGGUGAAGUUAGGACCUCUUCCUGAAGAGGUACGAGGAUGACACUACUCAGAAAAGAGCAGUUUCAGCCCGGAAAAAGCCACAGAAGGGGGUCGCUGAGGCUUUAAGGAAAACAAACAUUAAUGCUUUCAACAGAGAUGGUGUGGAUCAAGCCAAGGGAGGGUGCUGGUAACCAGAGCCAGCUGAGAACAAGACUGCACCAACUUCCUACUUCACUUUUAUGAACGUAAAUCUCAGCUUGAAACUCUCCAUGACCCAAUCCGUUUCUGUGCCUUGAAUAUUUCAGAUCAGGCAGGCGGGUCAUGAGACAAAACAGAUGAAAAGGAAACCGGUCUAAAAUGUGGUUCGGGCACAGCUGGUGUAACAAGAUUCAGGUUCACAUGACACAUCCCCCAUGCGAAAAAAUAAUUUGUUUGCAAAGUUCUCCUCCAGGCUCUGAAUCUGAAGACAUUCUACACGGAGAGCUCCAGAAUCUCACCGAGGCACAGCGGCACAAUCAAGGUGAAAAAAUGGGAAUACAGGACUUUUUUUUCUCAAGCUUAACGAAGACCAAGGUCAGUGUUGGUACAGCAAUUAAUCAGUAGGAUAAACAACAAAAUUUUUGUUGCUAAACAGAUUAACAUGCCAAUCCUUUAAAAAAAGAAAAAAGCCUGCACGAUAGUAGCCAUGUGUUAGCCACUUUAAUACAAAAUGUGAUCAAAACUCAAUUACAAGAGUUCAAGAAGGCAUAGAAAAAGUUUCCAUUUUAUUACAAGUUUUAAAAUCUGGGAGUAAUUUUCUAAAAACUUAUAUGCUAAUUUCAGCCCAGGGUUAAUUUUUUACAACCAAACUAAGAAUUACUACAAGGGAACAUCAUCGCAGCAAACAAGUGAAAUUUGCAAACCCAAGUCAUGAACUUACUAACAAAGUUAGUGAUCAUGGAAGGGGCAGCGCCAAAGAGCAACUGAUGCCUCAGUUAAAUCUGAAAGGACCCCUGCCUUCUGUGAGGGCAGAGGAACCUGCAAACAAUUCUGCUUCAAGAAAUUUGCAUAGAAAUAGAAAAUGCUAGAGCCUUUACCACAAAUGAAAUUGCAAAGCCUCAACAUGUUAAACUCAAUCCAAGGAGCACCAAAUGUUAAAUUGGAGCCAAGGCAGGACUCAGACACUUAAUUUCCAGCUAGGCAACUAGCAGAACACAAGAAUUUCAGGUGUGGAAAUUGGCUGUAGGCAAGCUCUUUAAAAACAUGAAUUUUAUACACCGUCAUUUUAAGACAAUGCAGACAGUUCUGCAGAAUUGUUUAGAUGCUAGAAGGGCACCACAAGGCAUCAGGGUCUCUUUUGAAAGUAUACUCGAUUUUCUGUCAACAACAAUUACAUCGUUACAGCCUCAUGAACCACCUUUCACAGCUCUCUAGGCUCCACACAGGGCAAAACUCCCAAGACAGACGUGGUUUUCUGCGGGAACACCACUUUCAGUUUGGCCCUACUUAAUGUCAGUUUGUCGAAGGACUUUUGACAUUAAAUUCAGCCACGGCCUAACUGGCAUGAAAGCGACUACUCCCAGGGCAUCUCAACCUCUCCCUCAUCUCCUCAGCAUGGACCAUCUCCCAGCGGCUCUCCUGCACACCCACCGGAGAAGCCUCCAGCGCUCCGGCUAUCAGAGCAGGCAGGACUCUCCCUCCUCUCCAGCUC
Molecule: non-coding RNA, 4704 nt
Organism: Equus caballus (horse)
Lineage: Eukaryota; Metazoa; Chordata; Mammalia; Perissodactyla; Equidae
Source: RefSeq, a predicted model, not a curated record